RNAcentral lists this ribosomal RNA (1218 nucleotides) under metagenome. RNAcentral describes it as "bacterial LSU rRNA". It matches the Rfam family "Bacterial large subunit ribosomal RNA", at positions 1564 to 2794 of the family's 2925-position model. The record is from RNAcentral.
UGAUGGGGAAGCCCUUCGGGGCGAAGUAGCUGAUUUCAAACUGUCAAGAAAAGCUUCUAUCGAGUUUAAAGGCGCCCGUACCGUAAACCGACACAGGUGGGUGAGGGGAGUAUCCUAAGGCCAGCGAGAGAACUAUUGUUAAGGAACUCGGCAAAAUGACCCCGUAACUUAGGGAGAAGGGGUGCCUGUCUAUGACAGGCCGCAGAGAAUAGGCCCAAGCGACUGUUUACCAAAAACACAGGUUUCUGCUAAGUCGCAAGACGAUGUAUAGGAGCUGACGCCUGCCCGGUGCUGGAAGGUUAAGGGGAUCUGUUAGAGCAAUCGAAGCAGUGAACUUAAGCCCCAGUAAACGGCGGCCGUAACAAUAACGGUCCUAAGGUAGCGAAAUUCCUUGUCGGGUAAGUUCCGACCCGCACGAAAGGCGUAACGAUUUGGGCACUGUCUCAACAAUAGACUCGGUGAAAUUGUAAUCCCGGUGAAGAUGCCGGGUACCUGCGACAGGACGGAAAGACCCCAUGGAGCUUUACUGUAGCUUGACGUUGGGUCUUGGUACUACAUGUACAGGAUAGGUGGGAGACUAUGAAGCAUGGACGCCAGUCUGUGUGGAGUCAUCCUUGGGAUACCACCCUUGUAGUACUGGGAUCCUAACCAUAGGCCUUGAAUCAGGUCUUGGAACACCGUUAGGUGGGCAGUUUGACUGGGGCGGUCGCCUCCUAAAAAGUAACGGAGGCGCUCAAAGGUUUCCUCAGCACGGUCGGAAAUCGUGCGAAGAGUGUAAAGGCAAAAGGAAGCUUGAUUGCAAGACAUACAGGUCGAGCAAGGACGAAAGUCGGACUUAGUGAUCCGGUGGUACCGCAUGGAAGGGCCAUCGCUCAACGGAUAAAAGCUACCCUGGGGAUAACAGGCUUAGCUCCCCCAAGAGUCCACAUCGACGGGGAGGUUUGGCACCUCGAUGUCGGCUCAUCACAUCCUGGGGCUGUAGUAGGUCCCAAGGGUUGGGCUGUUCGCCCAUUAAAGUGGUACGCGAGCUGGGUUCAGAACGUCGUGAGACAGUUCGGUCCCUAUCCGUCGCAGGCGUAGGAAAUUUGAGAAGACCUGUCCUUAGUACGAGAGGACCGGGAUGGACGUACCUCUGGUGUACCAGUUGUUCUGCCAAGGGCAUGGCUGGGUAGCUAUGUACGGAAUGGAUAAGCGCUGAAAGCAUCUAAGCGCGAAGCC